Molecule: ribosomal RNA, 765 nt
Filed under: Triticum aestivum (bread wheat)
Lineage: Eukaryota; Viridiplantae; Streptophyta; Magnoliopsida; Poales; Poaceae
Description: partial small subunit ribosomal RNA
Source: RNAcentral
AUGGUUCUGGAGGACGAGAGCAGCGAUGACAACUCUAGCCUCCCCUACAUGUACUCCGAAACCUCCACCGAUGGGCUGAACCAGGAAGGUCAGAAUUGUGGGUUUGUUCAGUGGGUUGAUGAGCAGUGGCCCCCAACAAUGGAGAAUGCAUUGUUGAAGCUUUGGUCAAUGGUUGAAGAGAGCAAGUGUGCUAGGUUGAAUGAUAAUCUUGAAAGUUCUUUAACUAUUCACUAUUUGACAGAACAAAAGAACAAGCUGGAUGUAGACUAUGACAAGUUGGUGAAAGAUGUGCAUCAACUUGUGGAUAUCCAGGCUGAUAGGGUUGUGGAUUUCAGUUAUCUGCAGUCCAACCUCACAUAUCAGCAGGAAUGCAGAGCUGAGUUGAUUGCUGGUAUGAAGGAAGAAAUGGCAAAGAAAGAUGCAGCUGCAGAGAAGGUUCAACAGAAGUAUGGAAUCCUGUGCAACCUGACAAGUGCUCAAGCAACUGUCAUCCAAAACCUGAAGUUGAAGAAUAUGAAAGAGAAGGAAUUGCUGAGUGAGGCUAGGAUGAAUUUGGAGUUGAAGAAUGCAAAGUUCUCACAGUUUGAGGAGAAGCUCACCCAAGAGAAGCUAGAGUUGAAGUUCCAGGUUGCUGAUCUGCUGAAGCUCAAGGAAAACUAUAAUGAAGAGAAGCAGAUGCAAGAGUUUAAGAUUACUGAGCUCAUGAAGGCACAGGAGAAGCUGAAGGAGAAGAUCAAGGGGAUCCAGGCCAUCUUGCAGAACUAA